This 217-nucleotide ribosomal RNA is filed under the name uncultured microorganism. Its description in RNAcentral is "partial 16S ribosomal RNA". It matches the Rfam family "Archaeal small subunit ribosomal RNA", at positions 329 to 552 of the family's 1478-position model. The record is from RNAcentral.
GUGUCAGCAGUCGAGAAUCCUCCGCAAUGCGCGAAGCGCGACGGGUUACCCGAGUGCCGUCCGCUGAGGACGGCUUUGCCAGUGUAGCCAGCUGGGCGAAUAAGGAGAGGGCAAGUCUGGUGUCAGCCGCCGCGGUAAUACCAGCUCUCCGAGUGGUGGGGACGCUUAUUGGGCCUAAAGCAUCCGUAGCCGGUCUGGCAAGUCCCUUGUUAAAUCC